Molecule: ribosomal RNA, 468 nt
Filed under: uncultured bacterium
Lineage: Bacteria
Description: partial 16S ribosomal RNA
Rfam family: Bacterial small subunit ribosomal RNA
Source: RNAcentral
GACGAACGCUGGCGGCGUGCUUAACACAUGCAAGUCGAACGGAAAGGCCCUGCUUUUGUGGGGUGCUCGAGUGGCGAACGGGUGAGUAACACGUGAGUAACCUGCCCUUGACUUUGUGAUAACUUCAGGAAACUGGGGCUAAUACCGGAUAGGAGCUCCUGCUGCAUGGUGGGGGUUGGAAAGUUUCGGCGGUUGGGGAUGGACUCGCGGCUUAUCAGCUUGUUGGUGGGGUAGUGGCUUACCAAGGCUUUGACGGGUAGCCGGCCUGAGAGGGUGACCGGCCACAUUGGGACUGAGAUACGGCCCAGACUCCUACGGGAGGCAGCAGUGGGGAAUAUUGCACAAUGGGCGGAAGCCUGAUGCAGAAACGCCGCGUGCGGGAUGACGGCCUUCGGGUUGUAAAACGCUUUCGCAUGUGACGAAGCGUGAGUGACGGUAAUGGGUAAAGAAGCACCGGCUAACUACGUG